Molecule: small RNA, 76 nt
Filed under: Xanthomonas hortorum
Lineage: Bacteria; Pseudomonadati; Pseudomonadota; Gammaproteobacteria; Lysobacterales; Lysobacteraceae
Also listed under: 4 other names
Description: sX9 sRNA
Rfam family: Xanthomonas sRNA sX9
Source: RNAcentral
AUGUACUGCUUGUACAUGUCGCUCCAAGUGCGCCGUCCAUCCCCAGCUGCCGACGGUUCGCUACGUUGUGUCGGCU